GAGUUUGAUCUUGGCUCAGAUUGAACGCUGGCGGCAUGCCUUACACAUGCAAGUCGAACGGCAGCGCGGGGCAACCUGGCGGCGAGUGGCGAACGGGUGAGUAAUAUAUCGGAACGUACCCUGGAGUGGGGGAUAACGUAGCGAAAGUUACGCUAAUACCGCAUACGAUCUAAGGAUGAAAGUGGGGGCUUCGCAAGAACCUCAUGCUCCUGGAGCGGCCGAUAUCUGAUUAGCUAGUUGGUGGGGUAAAGGCCCACCAAGGCUUCGAUCAGUAGCUGGUCUGAGGGGACGACCAGCCACACUGGAACUGAGACACGGUCCAGACUCCUACGGGAGGCAGCAGUGGGGGAAUUUUGGACAAUGGGCGCAAGCCUGAUCCAGCAAUGCCGCGUGAGUGAAGAAGGCC
This 406-nucleotide ribosomal RNA is filed under the name uncultured bacterium. RNAcentral's name for it is "bacterial SSU rRNA". It matches the Rfam family "Bacterial small subunit ribosomal RNA", at positions 9 to 416 of the family's 1533-position model. The record is from RNAcentral.